CCUACGGGUGGCUGCAGUGGGGAAUAUUGCACAAUGGGGGAAACCCUGAUGCAGCAACGCCGCGUGAGUGAAGGAGGUUUUCGGAUUGUAAAGCUCUGUUAGCAGGGAAGAGUAAGGACGGUACCUGCAGAGGAAGCCACGGCUAACUACGUGCCAGCAGCGGCGGUCAUACGUAGGUGGCAAGCGUUGUUCGGAAUAACUGGGCGUAACGGAUGCGUAGGCGGUUAAACAAGUUAUAGGUAAAAGAUAUAGGUUCAACCUGUGGAAAGCAUAUAAAACUGUUUAGCUAGAGUGCGGGAGGGGUAAGGGGAAUGUGUGGUGUAGCGGUGAAAUGCGUAGAGAUCAGGAAGAACACCAGUUGCGAAGGCGUCUGACGGAACUGCAAUUGACGCUGAUGCACGAGAGCAUGGGGAUCAAACAGGAUUAGAUACCCGUGUAGUC
RNAcentral lists this ribosomal RNA (441 nucleotides) under uncultured bacterium. RNAcentral's name for it is "partial 16S ribosomal RNA". It matches the Rfam family "Bacterial small subunit ribosomal RNA", at positions 338 to 795 of the family's 1533-position model. The record is from RNAcentral.